GCCCUAAUCGCUUAAUGGAUAAAGCUUUUGUCUUCGGAACAAAAGAUGAGGGUUCAAUUCCUUCUUAGGGCG
RNAcentral lists this transfer RNA (72 nucleotides) under Malacoplasma penetrans HF-2. RNAcentral's name for it is "Mycoplasma penetrans HF-2 tRNA". It matches the Rfam family "tRNA". Rfam says of the family: Transfer RNA (tRNA) molecules are approximately 80 nucleotides in length. Their secondary structure includes four short double-helical elements and three loops (D, anti-codon, and T loops). Further hydrogen bonds mediate the characteristic L-shaped molecular structure. tRNAs have two regions of fundamental functional importance: the anti-codon, which is responsible for specific mRNA codon recognition, and the 3' end, to which the tRNAs corresponding amino acid is attached (by aminoacyl-tRNA synthetases). tRNAs cope with the degeneracy of the genetic code in two manners: having more than one tRNA (with a specific anti-codon) for a particular amino acid; and 'wobble' base-pairing, i.e. permitting non-standard base-pairing at the 3rd anti-codon position. The record is from Rfam by way of RNAcentral. Lineage: Bacteria; Bacillati; Mycoplasmatota; Mycoplasmoidales; Mycoplasmoidaceae.